This 720-nucleotide ribosomal RNA is filed under the name Lactiplantibacillus pentosus. Its description in RNAcentral is "bacterial SSU rRNA". It matches the Rfam family "Bacterial small subunit ribosomal RNA", at positions 730 to 1451 of the family's 1533-position model. Lineage: Bacteria; Bacillati; Bacillota; Bacilli; Lactobacillales; Lactobacillaceae. The record is from RNAcentral.
UGGUCUGUAACUGACGCUGAGGCUCGAAAGUAUGGGUAGCAAACAGGAUUAGAUACCCUGGUAGUCCAUACCGUAAACGAUGAAUGCUAAGUGUUGGAGGGUUUCCGCCCUUCAGUGCUGCAGCUAACGCAUUAAGCAUUCCGCCUGGGGAGUACGGCCGCAAGGCUGAAACUCAAAGGAAUUGACGGGGGCCCGCACAAGCGGUGGAGCAUGUGGUUUAAUUCGAAGCUACGCGAAGAACCUUACCAGGUCUUGACAUACUAUGCAAAUCUAAGAGAUUAGACGUUCCCUUCGGGGACAUGGAUACAGGUGGUGCAUGGUUGUCGUCAGCUCGUGUCGUGAGAUGUUGGGUUAAGUCCCGCAACGAGCGCAACCCUUAUUAUCAGUUGCCAGCAUUAAGUUGGGCACUCUGGUGAGACUGCCGGUGACAAACCGGAGGAAGGUGGGGAUGACGUCAAAUCAUCAUGCCCCUUAUGACCUGGGCUACACACGUGCUACAAUGGAUGGUACAACGAGUUGCGAACUCGCGAGAGUAAGCUAAUCUCUUAAAGCCAUUCUCAGUUCGGAUUGUAGGCUGCAACUCGCCUACAUGAAGUCGGAAUCGCUAGUAAUCGCGGAUCAGCAUGCCGCGGUGAAUACGUUCCCGGGCCUUGUACACACCGCCCGUCACACCAUGAGAGUUUGUAACACCCAAAGUCGGUGGGGUAACCUAUAGAACCA